AAAGAACAAAGCUUGUAUGGUUUGUUUGAUAUUUUAUGUUUUUGAUAUUAAGAAUUCCAUUUGGUAUUUUUAAAAUGUAAUAAAAGCAUAACGUCUUGCAUAGGUUAUAGACCAAGACAUCCGAAGAGAGGAAGGUAUCGCCUCGCACCUCGAUGGCCCCAGUCUCAAAACUAAACAACACUGCCUGAUGAGAAAUGAAUUACUAGGCUCUUGUGGAAACAAUUGUCAC
This 229-nucleotide long non-coding RNA is filed under the name Sinocyclocheilus grahami. RNAcentral's name for it is "lncRNA (ENSSGRG00000016496.1)". The record is from RNAcentral. Lineage: Eukaryota; Metazoa; Chordata; Actinopteri; Cypriniformes; Cyprinidae.